Molecule: transfer RNA, 74 nt
Filed under: Enterococcus casseliflavus
Lineage: Bacteria; Bacillati; Bacillota; Bacilli; Lactobacillales; Enterococcaceae
Description: tRNA-Ile
Rfam family: tRNA
About the family: Transfer RNA (tRNA) molecules are approximately 80 nucleotides in length. Their secondary structure includes four short double-helical elements and three loops (D, anti-codon, and T loops).
Source: RNAcentral
GGGCGCAUAGCUCAGCUGGUUAGAGCGCACGCCUGAUAAGCGUGAGGUCGAUGGUUCGAGUCCAUUUAGGCCCA